CUGAGUAAACAGGGCUUUAUAAUCUCUCCUCCCAUGGGCUGGUUUACUAAAUAGAUCAAUAUUUGGUUUGUAGGCACAGAGAUUAGGAGGUGGAAAUGUCUUUUGAAAAAGCCCAAUCUCUUCCCAGGGCCCUGAGUGCACCUGAGAAUGCUGAAAAGAAAAGCCAAGUUCACGGACAAAAAAAGAAUCACCCAAGCUGCUUUCACCUGCCUGCGAUUUCCCAGGAAGCCAGUUUGUCUUUAAGAAGUGAGACCCAUUUGAGAAUGAGUAAUGUCUUAGGCUCUUUAGUCUAAUGCUUAGAGAAUUCCACUUUCUUCUUUCGCUCGGCCUCCCCCUGAGCUCCCCUUUCUCUGUCCCCAACUCCAUUUUAUUUAAUCUUUCUAAAUGGAUAUUGUAGCCUCAGGGACUAAAAGAAUGACACAUGGAUAAACAGGAACUAAGCUCCUAAGCUUUUCCCCUACCUGCCAUCUUCCUCACCACGCAUGAGGAUUAGAAGCAUCACAAAGAAAGCAGUCUCGGAAGUUUGUCAAAUAGAGAUUUCUGGGUGAUGGUUUGGGAAAGGAUGAUUUAGAUCGUGCCUCUCCUGGGUCGGGAAAGUGACUGAAACACAUAACAGCAGAGAACUUGAAGUGCUGGUUUGAGCUUCAGGAGAUGUGAGUUCUAGCCCCAGUGCUGCCUGUGAUUUUCUCUGUGACCUGGGACAAGUCCCUUGUGGAUACGACAGGAUAUGCGGGCUACAGGGAUCUCUGAGGCUUCUCCCAGUGAACUUCUCUCAUAUUCUACAUCUUAAGACAAUGGAUAUAUUUUCUCAAACUGGUCAGACAGUUAAAGAGUCAUCUUACAGAUUAUAAAAUAUAUACAUGGCAAGAGAACCAGGACAAUGACUGACUAUGUGACUAUGACUAUGUGACUAUGACCGUAAGACACUAUGAAUGGCUCUUUCUUCCCUAAGCCUGCAUCUGGCUUCAGACCCUUCUCAGCAAGAAGCUCCAGAAAGCUACUAAUGAUUGAUCAAGAUUAAAUGCAACUUGAAAACGAUUUUCCAUCCUUGCUUUAGA
RNAcentral lists this long non-coding RNA (1058 nucleotides) under Homo sapiens (human). RNAcentral describes it as "HSALNT0354383". Lineage: Eukaryota; Metazoa; Chordata; Mammalia; Primates; Hominidae. The record is from RNAcentral.